This 491-nucleotide ribosomal RNA is filed under the name Vitta virginea. Its description in RNAcentral is "partial 16S ribosomal RNA". It matches the Rfam family "Bacterial large subunit ribosomal RNA", at positions 1854 to 2600 of the family's 2925-position model. The record is from RNAcentral. Lineage: Eukaryota; Metazoa; Mollusca; Gastropoda; Cycloneritida; Neritidae.
AAGGCCUGCCCAGUGAUUGCUUUUUACGGCCGCGGUACCCUGACCGUGCAAAGGUAGCAUAAUCAUUUGCCUUUUAAUUGAAGGCUGGUAUGAACGGUUUGACGAGAGUAAAGCUGUCUCACAUAUACUUAAUAGAAAUUAAUUUAAAGGUGCAAAAGCCUUUAUUACCCAAAAAGACGAGAAGACCCUGUUGAGCUUUAAUUUAGCCCAAGUAUUAACUAUAUAUUAAUAUAAUUCACUUACUCGGUAAAAAUUUUAAUUGGGGCGAUUAAGGAACACACAAAAGCUUCCUGAUUAUUCAGUAAAAUAUUCAAUAGAUUAAAUCGAUCCAGCAAUGCUGAUCAACAAAAUGAGUUACCACAGGGAUAACAGCAUAAUUCUUUUUGAGAGCUCAUAUCGAAAAAAGAGAUUGUGACCUCGAUGUUGGACUAGGGUAACCGGAAGGUGCAGCCGCUUUCCUGCUUGGUCUGUUCGACCAAUAAUUCCCUACA